This is an RNA transcript of Zingiber officinale, 2657 nucleotides long. It is a transcript of the gene named transcription factor GTE4-like, with no coding region annotated. Lineage: Eukaryota; Viridiplantae; Streptophyta; Magnoliopsida; Zingiberales; Zingiberaceae. The record is from RefSeq and is a predicted model, not a curated record. The transcript has 6 exons.
CCCCCCUCUGUGAUCCUCUUAUUGCUCCACGAAGAACGAGAAAGCGUGCGCGCGAUUUCGCGAUUUUAGGGUUAGGGUUUUCUCCAUCUCCGGCCCUCUCUUCCUCCUUUCGAUCGGGUUUUCCAUCCCGAACGUCUGCAAGGCCCGAUCGGGCCGCCGGCAUCCCCCUACUCCGUUUGAUGCAUGGAUUCCGGCCCCCUUCCCGCCGCUACCGCGGACGACGGCGUCGGUGAGAGUCGCCGGUGGGCCGACUGCAAGGUAUAUACGCGGAGGAACCGUACCAAGAAGAACACUCCAAGCGCGGUCCAGGAUCCGCAGCCGUCAUCCCGAGAAACCCUAGCCGAGAACCCUCAGCCCUCACCCGUCGGAACCUUAGAUGAAAACCCUCAGCCGUCAUCCCGAGAAACCCUAACGACGACAAAGACCAAGGACGACCUUCAAUCCUCCCUCCAUCAGCCUCCGGCGGCGGAACCUCCUUCUGGACAUCAGCCUCUGGUCAGUCUCCACCCCGUGUCGGAUAACGAACCCUUCAGCCUCAAUCGUCCAUGCCCGGAGGGGACGAUCGUGCUUGACAUCAAGGCCUCCGCCCCUCACGAAAAUGGCUCGUUGGAGAACGGGAGAGACGAACCAUCGCAGCUGGAGUUACUGAAGAUCCGGCAGAAGCUCCUCGCUGAUCUCGCUCAGGUGAGGGAUCUUUUCAAGAGGCUUGAGGCCCGUCAGAUUGAGCUCUUUGCUGUGCAUGUGGAUGGUGAUGGUGGAGCUCCUUCUCAAUUCUCAGCUAAUCAUGGGAAUACUACUAUGUCAGGAAAGAGAGCACCAGCCCUUGUUGAAGCUGAUUCGGUGGACCCUCCCGCAGCACAUUCCUAUUUUGACAUCCCAGUGCCUCCCAAUGUCAGUGGAAAGAAUAGCAUAGCUAACUCGAUGCUGGUGGAUGAGGUAUUUUCUGUCCCUGCUGCAGGUGGUACCGGUGCCCGUUCUCAACUUUCUGUGAACCAUGCGACAUCACCUGUGGCAAUUCAGAGAGCACCUGUUGUCUUUGAUGCUCUUCCAAACAGUCCCGCUCUUCUCCCCUUUCGUCCCCGGCUCAGCAUCAUAGUGCCACAUGGUGCUGGUACUAGGAAUAACAUCAGUGAAUUGCCCUUACAGAAGGAGAAGAGAACACCUAAGGCCAACCAAUACUUUCAUAGUUCAGAUUUCAUUUUGGGUAAGGAUAAGAUUCCUCCUCCACCAUCUCUGAAGAAGUCCAAGACCAGCAAAAGCAAGAAGAAUUUUACAGAAUCAGAUUAUAAGACAUCGCCUGAAAAGAAAGUAUAUACUAGUGCCUUCAAGAGCUGUCGGGCAUUGCUGGAGAAGCUCAUGAAGCACAAGUUUGGAUGGGUGUUUAAUAAACCAGUAGAUGUUGAUGGUCUUGGUCUCUAUGAUUAUUUCUUGAUCAUUAAGCACCCGAUGGACCUUGGCACUGUAAAAUCUCGCCUUGCUGAUCAUUUCUAUGAAACUCCAGAAGAAUUUGCAGAAGAUGUCAGACUUACUUUCAGGAAUGCAAUGACGUAUAAUCCUGAUGGCCAGGAUGUUCAUUUCAUGGCACGGGAGAUGUCCAACAUCUUUGAGGAACGGUGGCUUGUGAUUGAGACUGAGUUUACAGAUCAAUUGCACCACUUAUAUUCAGUCAAUAAGAAAAGGGCUCCUCCUUUAAGGGGAACUAUGGAAAGGUCAGACUCCACAGUGCAUCCGAUAGUUGUUGAUUUGCGAAAAGAACAAAAUCAGUAUCACCAUUUUGACCGGCCUAUUGCUUUGAAGAAACCAAAGGCUAAAGACUUGUACAAGAGGGAGAUGACAUUGAAGGAGAAGCAAACUUUAAGUCGUCACUUGGAGAGUCUGCCGCCGGAAAAGUUGGAUUUGGUUGUGGAAAUUAUUAAGAAGAGGAACUUUGCUUUGAGUCAACAUGAUGAUGAGAUUGAAGUGGAUAUUGAUAGUGUGGACACAGAUACGCUCUGGGAACUUGAUAGAUUUGUGUCAAAUUAUAAGAAGACAUUAAGUAAGCACAAAAGGAAGGCAGAGCUAGCGAUGCUGGCUAGGGCUGAGGCAGAGCACCUCAGCCAAGAAAGAAUGAAUGGAGAGGGUCCUGAUCCAGUUGCUUCAUCAGCACAGCAAACUGACGAAGCAAUGCAAGACCAGAAUGAUGUUGCUGCUCAUCUAGUUGUUGGAGGAGUGAACAAUGGCAAUGAUGCAAUUGGAUCAAGUAGUUCCAGUGGAUCUAGCAGUGAUUCAAGCUCGGAUAGUGACUCUGACAGUGGAAGCUCCUCGUCAUAUGAAUCAGAUGCGCCACAUUGAUCCUGAAGAGAAAUAAAAUAGCUUCUACGGAAGAUAUAUCAAAGCUCUGUGAAUGUGUGGACGAAUUGCUUCCCAAGUUUUUCCCGUGAAUUUGCCUAAAAAAAGAGUCGAACAGUUGGAGGUAUUGGUUGCGCGUUUCCUGAACGUGAGAAUUGAAAAUGUUGGGCUACUGGUGUCGACCCUCUGCGGUUUGAGGUUCUAUUUAAAUGUGUAAUAAACUUUCUUAUGAAAAACUAGCUAAUCCAUGAUUUUCUUGCAAUUAUGUGUGCAUUGCACUUGUAACCUCGGAGACAAAUCCUCAUUUUUGAAUUGGUUGUGCAAGUUUA